Molecule: non-coding RNA, 501 nt
Organism: Coffea arabica (coffee)
Lineage: Eukaryota; Viridiplantae; Streptophyta; Magnoliopsida; Gentianales; Rubiaceae
Source: RefSeq, a predicted model, not a curated record
ACAGGAGUCUAUUUCCUCUCAUCACGCCUGACAAUGGUGAGAGUGAACGGACAAUGGGAUUCCACUCAUCAGCAGAUUUCCUUGGAAGGAGAGUCUAUUUCUUCUCAUUUACACUCAGUGAAGCAUUUCUGUCUCUUCUUGAUUUGGUGUGAUCAUUCCCGCUCAUCAGGGGGACGCACAAUCAUGCAUUGGAUUAGUUCGAUGGUAAAGUAAUUCAUGUUUAUUGAAGCGAUUUCUGGGGCUUCCAGAUUGUUUGGUUUGAACUUGAUGCAGCUGUAUCACUUUGUCAUUGCAUUCUAUCAAUCCAACAUUAUAUCCAUCAUAAUCUGCUUGUAAAGUGUUCUCCAUGCUCUUUCCUGGUUUGAUGUUUAAUAGUAUUUAUGAUCCCAAUCCCUUUUUUUUUUUUUGGGUUACAGUAAUCUCUCAUCUGUAUGUCUUUACACCCUUGGAUAUUGUGGAGAAGCAAGUUAAUAUCAUUUUUCAAAUUCCCAAUAUCAGAAA